UUUUUUAGAAUUAAAAGUUAGAUCCCAGGGACGUUUUUAUUAAAAUGGAGAAAAGAGGUGGCUCAAAGCCCAAUCCAAAAAGAAAAAGAAAAAGAAAAAGUAAAGGACACUAGAAAUUAAAAAAUGAAAAAAAUAAAAAACAAGAAGACAAAGAGACAUUGGGAAAGUGCAUCCACUUAGUACUCGUUCUUCUUCCAUGGCUUCCAUCAGUCACCGGAAAACCUCACAGAUCUUGCAGGUGUGGGUUGCAAUUAUUUGGAGGUCCACAGAUCUCACAGACUUCAUGAUUCAACACCAGUGAAGACUUCUUCAACUUGGAAGCUGCAACGGUUAACUGGAUCUACAGGUAAAAGUGAAUUCGUUCAUCAUUUGUGCAAUAUUGCCCUUCAUCUUAUAGUACAUCAGUUUAUAUUUGAUUUACUUCCUCCAAUUAUUCAUCUCAACAGGUUGAAUUCCUGAGGAAUUGAUACCACUGUUCAAGACUUAUAAUUUUCGGAGUACUUCAUUUAUAGCACUGAGUAAGAUCCUUUUCUUUGACUGUAUUACUAUGUUUCUCCUUUGAUAUCAAUGUUGUGAUGUAUUGAGAUGGCUUGUGAUGACUAUUCUAUGUUGUUGCGGCUAGGGGUGUACAUAGG
This 635-nucleotide long non-coding RNA is filed under the name Solanum tuberosum (potato). RNAcentral's name for it is "long non-coding RNA (STUB_LNC003414)". Lineage: Eukaryota; Viridiplantae; Streptophyta; Magnoliopsida; Solanales; Solanaceae. The record is from RNAcentral.